UCUAUUCGGACGCUCUAAAUGUUGAGCCGGCGUGCGAAACAUAAUGCAUAGAUUGUGUUUUGUCUGAUGCAAACAAAAAUUGUUGAGAAGUUGCUAUUGUAGCAACUCUUUAAAUAGAGUUUUUUCAUAGUGAACUCUAAUCUACAAUGACCUUCUCUCUCACACACUCUCUCCUUUUCCUCUCUCUAGAAGAGAAAAUGAUCGAUCUGCUAUUGUUGGAGCUCGGAGCUCAAAUCCAUCUUCUCCAAAGCUUGGAAACGAUGGAGAGAUUCAAGAGAAAGCUCUCGGAGGAAGGAGAAGGCACUUCUCUCCCACGUUUGGCUAAAAAAACAGAAGAGGUGAGUGGGUAGUUAGAGAUUUGGAUUUGAGGGUUAUUCCAAAUGGGAAUUUUUAGGGUUUUAAUUGUGCUAAAACCUUUUUUAGAGAUUUUCUUUGUGUUCUAUCUCUUUGUAAAAGAUCUAGCAAAGGUGGGACUGAGAAGGGUUUGAUCUCUCCUUUGUCCAAUGUUUCUUCGAUUUAUUUGCAUGUAUUAUGUGAGAUAAUUAAACUAAAUAAAAUUUUAAUUAGUCGCAUACUAGGAAACAGUGUUUUAACCCUUAUAUGUGAAUGAAAUAGUGGACUUAUGUAUGUGAGUAAAAAUGUAAACUUCAGAUGUAGCAUAAAUAAGAGUGGCAUUUGAACUUAGGUUAAAACCUAAGGUGAAAUGUAGAGACAUGUGAACUCUAGGUUAAAUGUGAAAUAGAGAACAAGCUAUAUGUAUUGGACAUGGUUAAUAACCCUAAAAGUCAUUUAAAUUUACGUUGUCAUAAUGAGUUUUGCCACAACCUUUCGGAAGUGUCAAUAGGGAGUGCCAAUCACCCUUGACUCUCUCACGUGCAUUGGGAGGGCCGAUCACCCUCAACUCCCAUUAUCAGAGUGCUAAUUCUCUGACUCCACGCGUUGUACUUGGAGGGAUGGUUGCUCUCGACUUCAAGUGCUUAUCAAUUGGAGAGUGCUAUGAUCUCCCUCGGCUCUCUAUGAGAUAUGUAUGCUUACUAAUUGGAGAGUAGUAUGAUCUCCCUCAGCUCUUCAUGAGGUGUAUAUGUCUAUCAAUUGGAGAGUAGUACAAUCUUCCUUGGCUCUCCAUGAGGUGUGGUGUGAUAUAGAAUCAAUCAAAUAGAUAGUUAGAGAUAUGAGGUAAUUGGGUAAACAUGUAACCUAUGGUCUAGUGGCAUUUUGUAUACUUGGGGCAUUGUAGUUGUAAAUUUAAUUAUUGUAUCUCUAGUAUAGAAAUAUUUGUUGUUAUCAUUAUCUAUUUACAAAUGGCUCUUUUGGACCGAGUGAGGGUAGAGGGCCACUUUUGAUAGUUGCACCCACUAGAAACUAAAUGUAGUUCUUUUCGCUUCAUUAUUUAUCUUUUUUUCAGAUCCUAUAAUCGCCGAUGAGACGCGUGAUCGCGGCAAAAAUGUUGCAGAGUAGCGGAUAUAGAGAG
This 1471-nucleotide long non-coding RNA is filed under the name Ananas comosus (pineapple). RNAcentral describes it as "long non-coding RNA (ACOM_LNC043123)". The record is from RNAcentral. Lineage: Eukaryota; Viridiplantae; Streptophyta; Magnoliopsida; Poales; Bromeliaceae.